UCUUUGGUGAUUUUAGCUGUAUGC
This 24-nucleotide non-coding RNA is filed under the name Aedes aegypti (yellow fever mosquito). Its record names the gene aae-miR-9b. RNAcentral also lists the same sequence under 2 other names. The record is from miRBase by way of RNAcentral. Lineage: Eukaryota; Metazoa; Arthropoda; Insecta; Diptera; Culicidae.